UACGUAGGGACCAAGCGUUGUUCGGAUUUACUGGGCGUAAAGGGCGCGUAGGCGGCUUGACAAGUCACUUGUGAAAUCUCCGGGCUUAACUCGGAACGGCCAAGUGAAACUGUCAUGCUAGAGUGCAGAAGGGGCAAUCGGAAUUCUUGGUGUAGCGGUGAAAUGCGUAGAUAUCAGGAGGAACACCUGUGGUGUAGACAGCUUACUGGACCAUUUCUGACGCUGAGACACGAAAGCGUGGGUAGCAAACAGG
This 253-nucleotide ribosomal RNA is filed under the name uncultured bacterium. RNAcentral's name for it is "partial 16S ribosomal RNA". It matches the Rfam family "Bacterial small subunit ribosomal RNA", at positions 524 to 776 of the family's 1533-position model. The record is from RNAcentral.